This 391-nucleotide unclassified non-coding RNA is filed under the name soil metagenome. RNAcentral's name for it is "partial contains 5.8S ribosomal RNA, internal transcribed spacer 2, and large subunit ribosomal RNA". The stretch from base 1 to 122 matches the Rfam family "5.8S ribosomal RNA", at positions 35 to 154 of the family's 154-position model. The record is from RNAcentral.
GAUGAAGAACGCAGCGAAAUGCGAUACUUGGUGUGAAUUGCAGAAUCCCGUGAACCAUCGAGUCUUUGAACGCAAGUUGCGCCCGAAGCCAUUAGGCCGAGGGCACGCCUGCCUGGGCGUCACACGUCGUUGCCCCCCCAUCUACUCCUUCGGGAUUGCGGGGGGCGGAUGAUGGCCUCCCGUGCGCCUCGCCGCGCGGUUGGCAUAAAUGCCAAGUCCUCGGCGACACACGCCACGACAAUCGGUGGUUGCGAAACCUCGGUUGCCCGUCGUGUGCGGUCGUCGCGCAUCGAGGGCUCGAAAAAAUUGCCGGGUUCCGGCUCGGCUUUCAACGCGACCCCAGGUCAGGCGGGGUUACCCGCUGAAUUUAAGCAUAUCAAUAAGCGGAGGA